RNAcentral lists this ribosomal RNA (1290 nucleotides) under Coreomyces sp. RNAcentral's name for it is "eukaryotic LSU rRNA". It matches the Rfam family "Eukaryotic large subunit ribosomal RNA", at positions 104 to 1375 of the family's 3401-position model. Lineage: Eukaryota; Fungi; Ascomycota; Laboulbeniomycetes; Laboulbeniales; Laboulbeniaceae. The record is from RNAcentral.
AUAGCUCAAAUUUGAAAUCUGGCGAAAGCCCGAGUUGUAAUUUGUAGAGGAUGCUUUUGGCAGAGCCGCGGGUUCAAGUGCCCUGGAAUGGGUUGCCAUCAUAGAGGGUGAGAGUCCCGUAUGUCGGCCCGCGGUAGUAGACGCCAGUCAAAGCUCCUUCGACGAGUCGAGUUGUUUGGGAGUGCAGCUCUAAUUGGGAGGUAAAUUCCUUCUAAAGCUAAAUAUGGGCCAGAGACCGAUAGCGAACAAGUAGAGUGAUCGAAAGAUGAAAAGUACAGUGAAAACUGGGUGAAAUAGUACGUGAAAUUGUUGAAAGGGAAGCGCUUGCAAUCAGACAUUGCAGCAACGGGCUGAACCUUGUGUUCAUAAGUUGCUUGUGGGCUAGCAUCAGUUUGGGUGGUGGUAGAAAGGCGAGGGGAAUGUGGCUCGGGUGGGCUUGCGCCCAGAUCGAGUGUUUAUAGCUCCUCGCGCCAUGCCACCUACCUAGACUGAGGGUUUGCGCGGGGUUUCCCCGCAAGGAUGCUGGCGUAAUGGUUGUAAGCGGCCCGUCUUGAAACACGGACCAAGGAGUCUAACAUCUGCGCGAGUGUUUAGGUGUCAAGCCUAUGCGCGUAAUGAAAGUAAACGUAGGUGGGAAACCAUCGGUCCUCACGGACUGGGGUGGCACCAUCGACCGAUCCGGAUGUUUUCGGAUGGAUUUGAGUAAGAGCGCAGCUGUUGGGACCCGAAAGAUGGUGAACUAUGCCUGUGUAGGCUGAAGUCAGAGGAAACUCUGAUGGAAGGUCGCAGCGGUUCUGACGUGCAAAUCGAUCGUCAAACAUGGGUAUAGGGGCGAAAGACUAAUCGAACCAUCUAGUAGCUGGUUCACGCCGAAGUUUCCCUCAGGAUAGCAGUGACGACAUCAGUUUUAUGAGGUAAAGCGAAUGAUUAGAGGCCUUGGGGUUGAAACAACCUUAACCUAUUCUCAAACUUUAAAUAUGUAAGAAGCCCCUUGUUACCUUAUUGAACGUGGGCAUUCGAAUGAAACGUCACUAGUGGGCCAUUUUUGGUAAGCAGAACUGGCGAUGCGGGAUGAACCGAACGCAGGGUUAAGGUGCCAGAGUGCACGCUCAUUAGACACCACAAAAGGUGUUAGUUCAUCCCGACAGCAGGACGGUGGCCAUGGAAGUCGGAAUCCGCUAAGGAGUGUGUAACAACUCACCUGCCGAAUGAACUAGCCCUGAAAAUGGAUGGCGCUGAAGCGUGCCACCUAUACCCUGCCGCCACGGUAGAUUUUUGACAUGAAGCCGU